GGUUAAGCGACUAAGCGUACACGGUGGAUGCCCUGGCAGUCAGAGGCGAUGAAGGACGUGCUAAUCUGCGAUAAGCGUCGGUAAGGUGAUAUGAACCGUUAUAACCGGCGAUUUCCGAAUGGGGAAACCCAGUGUGUUUCGACACACUAUCAUUAACUGAAUCCAUAGGUUAAUGAGGCGAACCGGGGGAACUGAAACAUCUAAGUACCCCGAGGAAAAGAAAUCAACCGAGAUUCCCCCAGUAGCGGCGAGCGAACGGGGAGCAGCCCAGAGCCUGAAUCAGUGUGUGUGUUAGUGGAAGCGUCUGGAAAGGCGCGCGAUACAGGGUGACAGCCCCGUACACAAAAAUGCACAUACUGUGAGCUCGAUGAGUAGGGCGGGACACGUGGUAUCCUGUCUGAAUAUGGGGGGACCAUCCUCCAAGGCUAAAUACUCCUGACUGACCGAUAGUGAACCAGUACCGUGAGGGAAAGGCGAAAAGAACCCCGGCGAGGGGAGUGAAAAAGAACCUGAAACCGUGUACGUACAAGCAGUGGGAGCACGCUUCGGCGUGUGACUGCGUACCUUUUGUAUAAUGGGUCAGCGACUUAUAUUCUGUAGCAAGGUUAACCGAAUAGGGGAGCCGAAGGGAAACCGAGUCUUAACUGGGCGUUAAGUUGCAGGGUAUAGACCCGAAACCCGGUGAUCUAGCCAUGGGCAGGUUGAAGGUUGGGUAACACUAACUGGAGGACCGAACCGACUAAUGUUGAAAAAUUAGCGGAUGACUUGUGGCUGGGGGUGAAAGGCCAAUCAAACCGGGAGAUAGCUGGUUCUCCCCGAAAGCUAUUUAGGUAGCGCCUCGUGAAUUCAUCUCCGGGGGUAGAGCACUGUUUCGGCAAGGGGGUCAUCCCGACUUACCAACCCGAUGCAAACUGCGAAUACCGGAGAAUGUUAUCACGGGAGACACACGGCGGGUGCUAACGUCCGUCGUGAAGAGGGAAACAACCCAGACCGCCAGCUAAGGUCCCAAAGUCAUGGUUAAGUGGGAAACGAUGUGGGAAGGCCCAGACAGCCAGGAUGUUGGCUUAGAAGCAGCCAUCAUUUAAAGAAAGCGUAAUAGCUCACUGGUCGAGUCGGCCUGCGCGGAAGAUGUAACGGGGCUAAACCAUGCACCGAAGCUGCGGCAGCGACACUAUGUGUUGUUGGGUAGGGGAGCGUUCUGUAAGCCUGUGAAGGUGUACUGUGAGGUAUGCUGGAGGUAUCAGAAGUGCGAAUGCUGACAUAAGUAACGAUAAAGCGGGUGAAAAGCCCGCUCGCCGGAAGACCAAGGGUUCCUGUCCAACGUUAAUCGGGGCAGGGUGAGUCGACCCCUAAGGCGAGGCCGAAAGGCGUAGUCGAUGGGAAACAGGUUAAUAUUCCUGUACUUGGUGUUACUGCGAAGGGGGGACGGAGAAGGCUAUGUUGGCCGGGCGACGGUUGUCCCGGUUUAAGCGUGUAGGCUGGUUUUCCAGGCAAAUCCGGAAAAUCAAGGCUGAGGCGUGAUGACGAGGCACUACGGUGCUGAAGCAACAAAUGCCCUGCUUCCAGGAAAAGCCUCUAAGCAUCAGGUAACAUUAAAUCGUACCCCAAACCGACACAGGUGGUCAGGUAGAGAAUACCAAGGCGCUUGAGAGAACUCGGGUGAAGGAACUAGGCAAAAUGGUGCCGUAACUUCGGGAGAAGGCACGCUGAUAUGUAGGUGAAGUCCCUCGCGGAUGGAGCUGAAAUCAGUCGAAGAUACCAGCUGGCUGCAACUGUUUAUUAAAAACACAGCACUGUGCAAACACGAAAGUGGACGUAUACGGUGUGACGCCUGCCCGGUGCCGGAAGGUUAAUUGAUGGGGUUAGCGGUAACGCGAAGCUCUUGAUCGAAGCCCCGGUAAACGGCGGCCGUAACUAUAACGGUCCUAAGGUAGCGAAAUUCCUUGUCGGGUAAGUUCCGACCUGCACGAAUGGCGUAAUGAUGGCCAGGCUGUCUCCACCCGAGACUCAGUGAAAUUGAACUCGCUGUGAAGAUGCAGUGUACCCGCGGCAAGACGGAAAGACCCCGUGAACCUUUACUAUAGCUUGACACUGAACAUUGAGCCUUGAUGUGUAGGAUAGGUGGGAGGCUUUGAAGUGUGGACGCCAGUCUGCAUGGAGCCGACCUUGAAAUACCACCCUUUAAUGUUUGAUGUUCUAACGUUGACCCGUGAUCCGGGUUGCGGACAGUGUCUGGUGGGUAGUUUGACUGGGGCGGUCUCCUCCUAAAGAGUAACGGAGGAGCACGAAGGUUGGCUAAUCCUGGUCGGACAUCAGGAGGUUAGUGCAAUGGCAUAAGCCAGCUUGACUGCGAGCGUGACGGCGCGAGCAGGUGCGAAAGCAGGUCAUAGUGAUCCGGUGGUUCUGAAUGGAAGGGCCAUCGCUCAACGGAUAAAAGGUACUCCGGGGAUAACAGGCUGAUACCGCCCAAGAGUUCAUAUCGACGGCGGUGUUUGGCACCUCGAUGUCGGCUCAUCACAUCCUGGGGCUGAAGUAGGUCCCAAGGGUAUGGCUGUUCGCCAUUUAAAGUGGUACGCGAGCUGGGUUUAGAACGUCGUGAGACAGUUCGGUCCCUAUCUGCCGUGGGCGCUGGAGAACUGAGGGGGGCUGCUCCUAGUACGAGAGGACCGGAGUGGACGCAUCACUGGUGUUCGGGUUGUCAUGCCAAUGGCACUGCCCGGUAGCUAAAUGCGGAAGAGAUAAGUGCUGAAAGCAUCUAAGCACGAAACUUGCCCCGAGAUGAGUUCUCCCUGACUCCUUGAGAGUCCUGAAGGAACGUUGAAGACGACGACGUUGAUAGGCCGGGUGUGUAAGCGCAGCGAUGCGUUGAGCUAACCGGUACUAAUGAACCGUGAGG
RNAcentral lists this ribosomal RNA (2896 nucleotides) under Escherichia coli. RNAcentral describes it as "partial 23S ribosomal RNA". It matches the Rfam family "Bacterial large subunit ribosomal RNA". Lineage: Bacteria; Pseudomonadati; Pseudomonadota; Gammaproteobacteria; Enterobacterales; Enterobacteriaceae. The record is from RNAcentral.